AGGACUAACGCUGGCGGCGUGCCUAACACAUGCAAGUCGAACGAAGUAGCAAUACUUAGUGGCAGACGGGUGAGUAACACGUAGUCAACCUGCCCUUCAAUGGGGGAUAACUAGCCGAAAGGUUAGCUAAUACCGCAUACGAUCUCUGAGUGGCAUCACUCGGCGAUGAAAGGAGUAAUCCGUUGAAGGAGGGGACUGCGUCCCAUUAGUUAGUUGGUGGGGUAAUGGCCUACCAAGACUCCGAUGGGUAGCUGGCUUGAGAGAGCGACCAGCCACACUGGAACUGAGACACGGUCCAGACUCCUACGGGAGGCAGCAGUGAGGAAUUUUCCGCAAUGGGGGAAACCCUGACGGAGCGACGCCGCGUGUGGGAAGAAGGCCUUCGGGUCGUAAACCACUGUCGAGGGGGACGAGUAUUGACGGUACCCCUGGAGGAAGCCCCGGCUAACUACGUGCCAGCAGCCGC
This 466-nucleotide ribosomal RNA is filed under the name uncultured bacterium. Its description in RNAcentral is "SSU rRNA". It matches the Rfam family "Bacterial small subunit ribosomal RNA", at positions 26 to 518 of the family's 1533-position model. The record is from RNAcentral.